GCUGUAGCUCAGUGGUUGAGCAUCUGCUUUGCAUGCAAAAAGUCCCAGGUUCAAUCCCUGGCUUCUCCA
Molecule: transfer RNA, 69 nt
Filed under: Podarcis lilfordi (Lilford's wall lizard)
Lineage: Eukaryota; Metazoa; Chordata; Lepidosauria; Squamata; Lacertidae
Description: tRNA.Ala
Rfam family: tRNA
About the family: Transfer RNA (tRNA) molecules are approximately 80 nucleotides in length. Their secondary structure includes four short double-helical elements and three loops (D, anti-codon, and T loops). Further hydrogen bonds mediate the characteristic L-shaped molecular structure. tRNAs have two regions of fundamental functional importance: the anti-codon, which is responsible for specific mRNA codon recognition, and the 3' end, to which the tRNAs corresponding amino acid is attached (by aminoacyl-tRNA synthetases). tRNAs cope with the degeneracy of the genetic code in two manners: having more than one tRNA (with a specific anti-codon) for a particular amino acid; and 'wobble' base-pairing, i.e. permitting non-standard base-pairing at the 3rd anti-codon position.
Source: RNAcentral